RNAcentral lists this ribosomal RNA (116 nucleotides) under Gymnosporangium cornutum. RNAcentral's name for it is "partial 5.8S ribosomal RNA". It matches the Rfam family "5.8S ribosomal RNA", at positions 40 to 154 of the family's 154-position model. From Rfam's summary of the family: 5.8S ribosomal RNA (5.8S rRNA) is a component of the large subunit of the eukaryotic ribosome. The record is from RNAcentral. Lineage: Eukaryota; Fungi; Basidiomycota; Pucciniomycetes; Pucciniales; Gymnosporangiaceae.
AGAACACAGUGAAAUGUGAUAAGUAAUGUGAAUCGCAGAAUUCAGUGAAUCAUCAAAUUUUUGAACGCACCUUGCACCUUUUGGUAUUCCAAAAGGUACACCUGUUUGAGUGUCAU